AGUGAACGCUGGCGGUAGGCCUAACACAUGCAAGUCGAACGGCAGCACAGUAAGAGCUUGCUCUUACGGGUGGCGAGUGGCGGACGGGUGAGGAAUACAUCGGAAUCUACUUUUUCGUGGGGGAUAACGUAGGGAAACUUACGCUAAUACCGCAUACGACCUACGGGUGAAAGCAGGGGAUCUUCGGACCUUGCGCGAUCGAAUGAGCCGAUGUCGGAUUAGCUAGUUGGCGGGGUAAAGGCCCACCAAGGCGACGAUCCGUAGCUGGUCUGAGAGGAUGAUCAGCCACACUGGAACUGAGACACGGUCCAGACUCCUACGGGAGGCAGCAGUGGGGAAUAUUGGACAAUGGGCGCAAGCCUGAUCCAGCCAUACCGCGUGGGUGAAGAAGGCCUUCGGGUUGUAAAGCCCUUUUGUUGGGAAAGAAAAGCAGCAGGUUAAUACCCCGCUGUUCUGACGGUACCCAAAGAAUAAGCACCAGCUAACUUCGUG
RNAcentral lists this ribosomal RNA (492 nucleotides) under uncultured bacterium. RNAcentral's name for it is "partial 16S ribosomal RNA". It matches the Rfam family "Bacterial small subunit ribosomal RNA", at positions 29 to 507 of the family's 1533-position model. The record is from RNAcentral.